GAUGAACGCUGGCGGCGUGCCUAAUACAUGCAAGUCGAGCGAACGGACGAGAAGCUUGCUUCUCUGAUGUUAGCGGCGGACGGGUGAGUAACACGUGGAUAACCUACCUAUAAGACUGGGAUAACUUCGGGAAACCGGAGCUAAUACCGGAUAAUAUUUUGAACCGCAUGGUUCAAAAGUGAAAGACGGUCUUGCUGUCACUUAUAGAUGGAUCCGCGCUGCAUUAGCUAGUUGGUAAGGUAACGGCUUACCAAGGCAACGACGCAUAGCCGACCUGAGAGAGUGAUCGGCCACACUGGAACUGAGACACGGUCCAGACUCCUACGGGAGGCAGCAGUAGGGAAUCUUACGCAAUGGGCGAAAGCCUGACGGAGCAACGCCGCGUGAGUGAUGAAGGUCUUCGGAUCGUAAAACUCUGUUAUUAGGGAAGAACAGAUGUGUAAGUAACUGUGCACAUCUUGACGGUACCUAAUCAGAAAGCCACGGCUAACUACGUG
Molecule: ribosomal RNA, 497 nt
Filed under: uncultured bacterium
Lineage: Bacteria
Description: partial 16S ribosomal RNA
Rfam family: Bacterial small subunit ribosomal RNA
Source: RNAcentral